This 496-nucleotide ribosomal RNA is filed under the name Bergeyella zoohelcum. Its description in RNAcentral is "bacterial SSU rRNA". It matches the Rfam family "Bacterial small subunit ribosomal RNA", at positions 9 to 497 of the family's 1533-position model. The record is from RNAcentral. Lineage: Bacteria; Pseudomonadati; Bacteroidota; Flavobacteriia; Flavobacteriales; Weeksellaceae.
GAGUUUGAUCCUGGCUCAGGAUGAACGCUAGCGGGAGGCCUAACACAUGCAAGCAGAGCGGGAUUUGUUGGUUAGCUUGCUAACUGAUAAUGAGAGCGGCGUACGGGUGCGUAACACGUGUGCAACCUGCCUUUAUCUGGGGGAUAGCCUUUCGAAAGGAAGAUUAAUACCCCAUAAUAUAUUGAUUGGCAUCGAUUAAUAUUGAAAGCUGAGGCGGAUAGAGAUGGGCACGCGUAAGAUUAGCUAGUUGGUGAGGUAACGGCUCACCAAGGCUGCGAUCUUUAGGGGGCCUGAGAGGGUGAUCCCCCACACUGGUACUGAGACACGGACCAGACUCCUACGGGAGGCAGCAGUGAGGAAUAUUGGACAAUGGGUGAGAGCCUGAUCCAGCCAUCCCGCGUGAAGGACUAAGGACCUAUGGUUUGUAAACUUCUUUUAUACAGGGAUAAACCUACUCUCGUGAGGGUAGCUGAAGUACUGAUGAAUAAGCACCGCA